Molecule: ribosomal RNA, 253 nt
Filed under: uncultured bacterium
Lineage: Bacteria
Description: partial 16S ribosomal RNA
Rfam family: Bacterial small subunit ribosomal RNA
Source: RNAcentral
UACGGGGGGUGCGAGCGUUAAUCGGAAUUACUGGGCGUAAAGCGUGCGCAGGCGGUUGUGCAAGACAGGUGUGAAAUCCCCGGGCUUAACCUGGGAACUGCACUUGUGACUGCACGACUGGAGUACGGCAGAGGGGGAUGGAAUUCCGCGUGUAGCAGUGAAAUGCGUAGAUAUGCGGAGGAACACCGAUGGCGAAGGCAGUCCCCUGGGCCUGUACUGACGCUCAUGCACGAAAGCGUGGGGAGCAAACAGG